CUGCUCCAGCAAGAAUUAAGAUACCAAUUCUGUCUAUAUUCCUUUCAGGCAGUUUUAAACAGCAGCUGUUGUAUUGCUGAAGGUGUAGGCAAACAGCAUGAUGCUGAUGUACUGUUGUUCCGAAUAUGUAUUGAUACAGCCUCUAUGAAGGGCAACUGGAUGGUAGCUGUCAGUGUUGAAGGUGUGGGAAUUCCCUGGGGGUCCACUGGUUAGGACAUCAUGUUUUCACUGCCUAGGGCGUGGGUUCAGUCCCUGAUUGGGGAAUUAAGGUCUCUCAAGCUAUGCGGCAUGGCCAAAAAAUAUAUAUAUAUAAUAUAUAUAUUGAAGGUGUAUAUAUUUGAUCCAGGUUUAGGAAUUUCACUGCUAGGAAUUGAUCCUGAAGAUAUUGAUGCAAGGCCUUUCAUACAAGUAUUUUCAUUGUAAUCAUAGAGGAUUGGGCACCGGUUUCCUCCACGGGGCACUGGGUAAAUUAUUGUACAUCCAUAUAGUGGCACCCUUAAACAGAAGGGAAUCCUCUCUGUGUACUGACAUUGAACACUUUUAUCAGGAGGCAGCAGAAAAUGAUUAACUGUUUAUUCAGUAUACUACUAUACUGUAUAAGUGGGAAAAGAAAAAGUGUGUUUGUAUAUGUACAAACUAUCUCCAGAAGGAGAUUUCUACAUGCUAUGGAUUGUAUUCUUCUUCUAACUUUUCUGUUAUUCCUAGGGACUUGGGAUAAGAGGUGGCGGCUCCAGGGUAAUAUUAGUCUACCAAAUGGUAGAUUGUGAAAACAAGUGUGAUGAAAACUGACAAGUAAUGACAGAGUACGGCAAAGUGACUGGAUAGCAGCCCACCUGGAUAAUAUUGAUGUACGCUUCCCUCAGAACACUAUACAUGACAUUCCAGAGAAGGCUGGCAGAACCGUGCUGAAAACCCAGGCAUUGUAUCUUGUUGAUUUUCCUUCGAUGCUUGAUUAGCAUACCCUACCUACAUCAUCCUCUGACUCCGGAUCAUCCAGUGACUCUGAAAGCCACUCCAGGAGCGGCCCAUUGAAACCUGGUGGGUGCAGAGCAGUCUCUCUUGCCCUUGCUGGAAAAUGACCUAUAAAAAGUGGGGUGCUCACCUGCUACAGUAAUGGAGAGGUAGCUAUGCAGGAUCUUAGUUCCCUGACCAGGGAUCGAACCAGUGCCCCCUGCAGCAAAAGCGUGGAGUCUUAACUACUGGACUGCCAGCAUUUUCAUCAGGAAGAGAAUAUUUAUUCAACCAGCCAUCUUUAUUGAGAAUCUCAAUUUAAUUCUUUAAUGAAAAAUACAACUUCCAGUUCCACAUAAUUUAUGUAAAUACCUCACUCUCAAGGAAGUACUGAAUAACCCACCACUCUUUAAAUGUGAGCUGCGCAUAGUGACUUCCAUCCGAGAGUACAGAACAGCAAGGGGUGAGGGAGGAAUAGCUUUAUAUUGGAGAUACCUGAGGAACCCUCCCACAGCCUGGUGAUCAAGGUCAACAUCAACAGUGAUAAAAUCAUGCUGAUCGUAUGCACCCUUUGUGGUCUC
Non-coding RNA from Kogia breviceps (pygmy sperm whale), 1532 nucleotides. Lineage: Eukaryota; Metazoa; Chordata; Mammalia; Artiodactyla; Physeteridae. The record is from RefSeq and is a predicted model, not a curated record.